Molecule: ribosomal RNA, 388 nt
Filed under: uncultured bacterium
Lineage: Bacteria
Description: bacterial SSU rRNA
Rfam family: Bacterial small subunit ribosomal RNA
Source: RNAcentral
AUUGGACGCUGGCGGCAUGCCUUACACAUGCAAGUCGAACGGCAGCACGGGAGCAAUCCUGGUGGCGAGUGGCGAACGGGUGAGUAAUAUAUCGGAACGUGCCCAGUCGUGGGGAUAACGUAGCGAAAGCUACGCUAAUACCGCAUACGAUCUAUGGAUGAAAGCGGGGGAUCGCAAGACCUCGCGCGAUUGGAGCGGCCGAUAUCAGAUUAGGUAGUUGGUGAGGUAAAGGCUCACCAAGCCGACGAUCUGUAGCUGGUCUGAGAGGACGACCAGCCACACUGGGACUGAGACAGGCCCAGACUCCUACGGAGGCAGCAGUGGGGAAUUUUGGACAAUGGGCGCAAGCCUGAUCCAGCAAUGCCGCGUGCAGGAUGAAGGCCUUCGG